Oryzias melastigma (Indian medaka) is the source of this 493-nucleotide long non-coding RNA. RefSeq lists it as uncharacterized. The transcript has 2 exons. The record is from RefSeq and is a predicted model, not a curated record. Lineage: Eukaryota; Metazoa; Chordata; Actinopteri; Beloniformes; Adrianichthyidae.
AUUUUUUCCAUCUGCUUUGGCAAAUCGUACAUUUAUAUACGUCUUCAUCAUCACAAUAGAGCCGGCGUCACCGACCCUGUUCUUCGUGAACUCCACUGCCCUGCUUCAGUAAUUCCUGAUUAGCUGGAUUGGAUGAGCUCCGUUUCUGAUCGACUGAACACACCUGAUCAGGACAAUCCUGAAGAAAAUGGAUCUGCUGGAGAAGUACAGCAGUGGGUGAAAGAGAGGAGAGUGAAGAAAGAGAAAGGAGUGAGCCACCGGCUGGAAGAAGAAAAAUAAGAAGAAACAGUGAUGAGCUUCUAGACCUAAACAGAGGACAUGAGGCAGAAGAGCAGAGCGCACGAGAGAGGAGGGAAACUUUUGACCAACUUUAGUCUGCUGGAAAGAAUUGCCGUUAAAAUCCUUAGAUGUCUGAGAAUAAAUGAAGUUUAUAUUUGAUAUAUUAAACAUGAUUGUUUUUGUUUUGUUAAUUUAAAUAAAGAUCUAAAUCAAA